Molecule: long non-coding RNA, 905 nt
Organism: Panicum virgatum (switchgrass)
Lineage: Eukaryota; Viridiplantae; Streptophyta; Magnoliopsida; Poales; Poaceae
Exons: 2
Source: RefSeq, a predicted model, not a curated record
CGAUUUACUAAAAGAUCUCCAAAGAAAUUGCAACACCCAGGAAAAACCGCGGACGGUCCGCUAGGGAUCGGCGGACGGUCCGCCAGAGUAACGCCCAGAUAUUUAGCUGGAUGUGGGCCCGGUCGUCUUCUCCUCCUUCCUCAUUCCCACCUCGACCAGAGACAAGCGGAGCUCGUCUGCUCGCGCCGCCGUCGCCUCCUUCCAUCGAUCUCCCUCCUCCGGCCACCAUACUUCGAUUCCUCGCGCGAGCACCUUCCCCGGCACCUCCUCCACCUUCCCCAACCCCCCAGCCCAGCUUCUCCCAGCUGGAAUCGCCCCCACCACCGCCGGUCACCAUUGGAGCCGCUUGAAGCUUUGCUCCACCGUCGAUCCGCUUCUCCGGUCAUCCUCCACUCGAACAGACCGCGGGAAUGGAAUCGUGGUGCGCUAGAGGUACACGUGUGGACGUGAAGCAGCGGUGUUGGAGUCGACCUACAAGACGGUGUUCGACGGAUAUCGCCAGAAGAUGGAAGGACCCGCUGAAGCAACCAAAGACCCGGCCCAAGGUCGAAAGGGCCCAAGGCCUUAAUAGCAUUAACACUGACUUAGUGUUACCCCAAGCAAGUCCCUGUGCACAUCCUAGUAUUUGAAAUUAUGACACACACACAUAUAUUAGUUGUGCAUUACGUAUAGAAAUUGGCUAAAACCCUAGUUGCAUGAUCCCUAGGUUUUCUUGAGUUUAUACUAGUAUGUUAGGACGAUAGUAAUGCUAUGCUUAAGAGUUCUCGGUAGAAGUCGAGUGACUUCUUGUCACCCGCGAGAUUUAGGAUGUUUAGAAGUCGAGUAAUUUCCGGUUACUCGCGAGAUAUGUGAAUUAAUUAUAUUUCGACAUAUGAGUUGCUGAAUGGAUAUAGAAUGCAUGGAAA